This 732-nucleotide ribosomal RNA is filed under the name Triticum aestivum (bread wheat). RNAcentral's name for it is "partial small subunit ribosomal RNA". Lineage: Eukaryota; Viridiplantae; Streptophyta; Magnoliopsida; Poales; Poaceae. The record is from RNAcentral.
GUACUCCAGAUUGGGACCUCCAUCGCGGUAGGAACGGGCUCUAGUACCCUAUUCUGGUUCGAUAGGGGGGCGGGCGACGCCCCCUUUGCUGCUCGCUUCCCGGACUUGUUUGUCGUUGUUGUGGACCCUUGGGUCUUCGUCGAGAUGGCCCUUAUUGACUUAGGGCGCCUCGCCUUCAGACAACCCUUUGGGCCCCUUGAAGUGAAUGCAUGGUACGAGCUAUUGGACUCCACUGCUCUAUACGAUCCAGACCUCUCGCGACCCCAUGACCUUGUGUCUCGGCGCUUAGAGCCUUCAGGCAACUUCUCCACCAAAUCUCUCUAUAGGGAUAUCGCCCCCUCCCCCACCCCGGAUCCACUCAUAUUGAUCUGGGAGAUCAAACUCCCCCUAAAGAUCCGGAUCUUUCUCUGGCAAUGGAUCCGUGGGCGUGUUCCAUCAGGAGUGGAGGUGCUGAAACGUAAUGGCCCCGGUGAUGGGAUGUGGCCCCUGUGUGGGACGUUUGAGGAUUCUAAUCAUAUCUUCUUCUCCUGCGUCUCUGCUCAAUUCCCGUGGAGUUGCCUCCGCGAAGCGAUCAAUGGUCGUUGGUGCAACACCAACUUCUUGGAUCUCUUCGUCGAGGUUCAGCCUUCGGCCCAGCCUGGCCGCCACAUUAGGUGGCUGGCGAUUGGGGUCCUUGCGUGGACGCUGUGGACUAUCCGCAACAAGCUCGUGAUUCAGCACGUGCCCCUUUGA